RNAcentral lists this ribosomal RNA (253 nucleotides) under uncultured bacterium. RNAcentral's name for it is "partial 16S ribosomal RNA". It matches the Rfam family "Bacterial small subunit ribosomal RNA", at positions 524 to 776 of the family's 1533-position model. The record is from RNAcentral.
GACGUAGGGGGCGAGCGUUGUCCGGAUUUAUUGGGCGUAAAGCGUGCGUAGGCGGCUGCGCAAGACAGAUGUGAAAUCCCCGGGCUCAACCUGGGAACUGCAUUUGUGACUGCACGGCUGGAGUGCGGCAGAGGGGGAUGGAAUUCCGCGUGUAGCAGUGAAAUGCGUAGAUAUGCGGAGGAACACCGAUGGCGAAGGCAAUCCCCUGGGCCUGCACUGACGCUGAGGCGCGAAAGCUAGGGGAGCAAACGGG